This 448-nucleotide ribosomal RNA is filed under the name uncultured bacterium. Its description in RNAcentral is "SSU rRNA". It matches the Rfam family "Bacterial small subunit ribosomal RNA", at positions 26 to 518 of the family's 1533-position model. The record is from RNAcentral.
AGAGCGAACGCUGGCGGCAGGCUUAACACAUGCAAGUCGAGCGGGCGUAGCAAUACGUCAGCGGCAGACGGGUGAGUAACGCGUGGGAACAUACCUUUUGGUUCGGAACAACACAGGGAAACUUGUGCUAAUACCGGAUAAGCCCUUACGGGGAAAGAUUUAUCGCCGAAAGAUUGGCCCGCGUCUGAUUAGCUAGUUGGUGAGGUAACGGCUCACCAAGGCGACGAUCAGUAGCUGGUCUGAGAGGAUGAUCAGCUACAUUGGGACUGAGACACGGCCCAAACUCCUACGGGAGGCAGCAGUGGGGAAUAUUGGACAAUGGGCGCAAGCCUGAUCCAGCCAUGCCGCGUGAGUGAUGAAGGCCCUAGGGUUGUAAAGCUCUUUUGUGCGGGAAGAUAAUGACGGUACCGCAAGAAUAAGCCCCGGCUAACUUCGCGCCAGCAGCCGC